This 502-nucleotide unclassified non-coding RNA is filed under the name Hevea brasiliensis (rubber tree). Lineage: Eukaryota; Viridiplantae; Streptophyta; Magnoliopsida; Malpighiales; Euphorbiaceae. The record is from RNAcentral.
GCGAGGCCGCCAAUUUGGGACAGUUCUACCCCGCUCAACAUCCACAAGUACCCUUCUGCCAUCAAGCUUCCUCCCAUCAGCUUGCUUAUAUGCAGCUUUCAUGUCUCGAGUAUGCAUAUAUUCAAUGAAAGCAUAGCCUCUAGGUUUAUUCGUCAUUUUAUCAGUUAUCAGUCGGACCCGUUUUAUUGGUCCAUAAGACUCAAACUCCCUUUUAAUUCUACUCUCGGUUGUCUCAUAAUUAAGCCUAGCAACGAACAAAGUCUUGUAUGGAUCUCCUAUAAUAUUUGAGUCAUUAUUUGGAUCAUAUUUCUGAAGCUCCUCGGCAGCCUUCUCAGCACCUUUCUCUAAUCGUAACUUGUGAAUUCUAGCCCUUCUUUGUGCAGGAGUUUCACCUUCCUGGACGGGCCGAGAAUACUCAGGAUCCCCAGGCUCAGCAAAUUGACUGACAAACUGGGCCAUGCCAGCAUAUGGUGGGCAUUUUCUCUUCUCUGGAGGGGGUUUA